RNAcentral lists this ribosomal RNA (450 nucleotides) under uncultured bacterium. RNAcentral describes it as "partial 16S ribosomal RNA". It matches the Rfam family "Bacterial small subunit ribosomal RNA", at positions 354 to 796 of the family's 1533-position model. The record is from RNAcentral.
GUGGGGAAUAUUGGACAAUGGGCGAAAGCCUGAUCCAGCCAUGCCGCGUGUGUGAAGAAGGUCUUCGGAUUGUAAAGCACUUUAAGUUGGGAGGAAGGGCAGUAAGUUAAUACCUUGCUGUUUUGACGUUACCGACAGAAUAAGCACCGGCUAACUUCGUGCCAGCAGCCGCGGUAAUACGAAGGGUGCAAGCGUUAAUCGGAAUUACUGGGCGUAAAGCGCGCGUAGGUGGUUUUGUAAGUUGGAGGUGAAAUCACCGGGCUCAACCUGGGAACUGCAUCCAAAACUGCAUGACUAGAGUACGGUAGAGGGUAGUGGAAUUUCCUGUGUAGCGGUGAAAUGCGUAGAUAUAGGAAGGAACACCAGUGGCGAAGGCGACUACCUGGACUGAUACUGACACUGAGGUGCGAAAGCGUGGGGAGCAAACAGGAUUAGAAACCCCUGUAGUCC